CGAAGCCCACCCAAACUCAUCUCAUUUCUCUCAAUUCUUCACAUUCUUUUUUGGGAGAACUUCAUUUCUCUUCAACCACAUCUCGCACCUUAAGGUAUUUCUUCUUCUUCUCCGAAUCAUCAUCGUCUUCGUUACCUUGCGCGUCUCCUCCAACACCAAACCUCAUACUCUGUUAGGGCUUCUCUUCCAUUUCACCUUUUCCUUUGUUUUCACCGAUUAAAAUCCAUUUUCCAACUUUUCCAUCGAUUAAACACCAUUCUAUCGAUUGAUUCUUCGAUUAGCGCCAUUCUCACCGUUCAAUCUCCAUUUCACACCGAUUAACCGAUUCAUUUUAUGUUUUCCCCCUUUUCUAGGGUUCCAAUGGUCCAUCAUUUCACACCGACACCGUACACUAGAGAACUGCAAUGAGAGGAUGGAGCAAUUACUAAAAACAUGUUUCUACAGAGUUUAGAAUUUAUUCAAUAAAUUCUAACUAUAUAAAAAAAAAUGUGUUCCAGUGGUUCUAGAGCUCGUCCUCAAGAAAUUGUCAGUUGAAGGUCAAGCAUAGCUGAUAAGAAGUCAUGCACAGAAGUAUUUCAUGAAAGUUCAGAAGAAUGGAACAAGUGAACAUGUACCUCUCCCUCGACCCAAAAGAAAAGCUGCUCAUCCAUACCCACAAAAGGCGUCUAAAAAUGGUUAGUGUGACCAACUU
Molecule: long non-coding RNA, 691 nt
Organism: Vigna angularis (adzuki bean)
Lineage: Eukaryota; Viridiplantae; Streptophyta; Magnoliopsida; Fabales; Fabaceae
Exons: 3
Source: RefSeq, a predicted model, not a curated record